GCCCCUAAGUCUGGGAUACCAUUUGGAAACAGGUGCUAAUACCGGAUAAUAAAGCAGAUCGCAUGAUCAGCUUUUGAAAGGCGGCGUAAGCUGUCGCUAAGGGAUGGCCCCGCGGUGCAUUAGCUAGUUGGUAAGGUAACGGCUUACCAAGGCGACGAUGCAUAGCCGAGUUGAGAGACUGAUCGGCCACAUUGGGACUGAGACACGGCCCAAACUCCUACGGGAGGCAGCAGUAGGGAAUCUUCCACAAUGGACGCAAGUCUGAUGGAGCAACGCCGCGUGAGUGAAGAAGGUUUUCGGAUCGUAAAGCUCUGUUGUUGGUGAAGAAGGAUAGAGGUAGUAACUGGCCUUUAUUUGACGGUAAUCAACCAGAAAGUCACGGCUAACUACGUGCCAGCAGCCGCGGUAAUACGUAGGUGGCAAGCGUUGUCCGGAUUUAUUGGGCGUAAAGCGAGCGCAGGCGGAAAAAUAAGUCUAAUGUGAAAGCCCUCGGCUUAACCGAGGAACUGCAUCGGAAACUGUUUUUCUUGAGUGCAGAAGAGGAGAGUGGAACUCCAUGUGUAGCGGUGGAAUGCGUAGAUAUAUGGAAGAACACCAGUGGCGAAGGCGGCUCUCUGGUCUGCAACUGACGCUGAGGCUCGAAAGCAUGGGUAGCGAACAGAAUUAGAUACCCUGGUAGUCCAUGGCCGUAAACGAUG
Molecule: ribosomal RNA, 698 nt
Filed under: uncultured bacterium
Lineage: Bacteria
Description: bacterial SSU rRNA
Rfam family: Bacterial small subunit ribosomal RNA
Source: RNAcentral